Engraulis encrasicolus (European anchovy) is the source of this 1056-nucleotide long non-coding RNA. RefSeq lists it as uncharacterized. The record is from RefSeq and is a predicted model, not a curated record. Lineage: Eukaryota; Metazoa; Chordata; Actinopteri; Clupeiformes; Engraulidae. The transcript is spliced from 4 exons.
GCAGGGGGUCUCGUGCUCUGGAGAAAAGGCAGCGGCUGGAGAUACUCCAGGAAUGCCAGUCUGAGUAGGCCUAUGUUGCUGCAGAGGAAAGAGAUGGCUUCACUGCUGACGGGGUCCCAUCAAUUGAUGUGUCAAGAAGAAGUUGCAGAGCCUUGGUCAAACCAGAGGUUGCCAGGAUGUCAAACCCUGGGUGGGAAGUAUAAUAAACCAUCUGUACUGGGCUGUGGUCUCGACGCCUCCUGAAAAUGUUCAACUUGUGGUGGACAAAUGGACAUCAGUUAUGGAUCACAUCCACAACAGGCAUACCGGAUUCGAGGGACUGUUCUCUUAUUGUGCACACAGAGUCUUGGAAGGCAGGGAACAGCCUGUGUCACUUUUCAUACAAAGGGAUGGAGAGCAGGCUAUGCUGAAGAGCUGAUGCGGAUGGUGGAGGCCAUGUGUCGAGUUGAGGACUACAGCUGUGAUGACUUUGACAUUCCAGACCUAUCCCCUGUUCCAGAGCCACUGAGUGCAUCAUGUGAAAAGCCGGAUAAGAGGGCAGCAGUCAGUACACACACACACAACACGCUUUAGCGCCACAAACAACCCUUCAAUAUAGACAUUACCAAAAGUUUGAUGCCGGUAAUUCCAAAACCACAGUACAGGGUGUGUUGGAAGGACACUUUUUUCUCUCUUUUUUUCACACUUAUGCAUACAAAUGGUUCCAACUCAGGUGACUUAUCUGAGUAAAAAGUAGACCAAUGUACUUGUCGUAUGUUCAGCUGAUUCUCCACUGGUUGGAUUGAGUUUGCGGUGAUAGUAUGUGUAGCUCUGCUCCAGCAGGGGGCACCAAAGCUACACACUCACCAUCUGUUGUGAACCAGGCCAGGUCCUCGUUAGGUUUUUAGUGUUUUUUUUAGUAAUGACAGUCUCACUGUACAUAAGGUACAAUGGCAUACAUGGUGUUACAGUUAUGUAUUAUGUGCUACUGUUGUAAUUACACCACAAAUGUACUCAUACUUUUGUUUAAAAUUGGACAGAGCUGAACUGCAUGUAAUAAACACAUUUAUUUUCAUA